RNAcentral lists this non-coding RNA (29 nucleotides) under Mus musculus (house mouse). Lineage: Eukaryota; Metazoa; Chordata; Mammalia; Rodentia; Muridae. The record is from RNAcentral.
AGCUUCUGCAGUACAGGAUGUGUGUCAGG